CCCUCUUCCAGGAGAUGCAAGCGUGAUGGUUAAAUGUGACAACUGAAGCUGGUCUGCUGAAGAUAAGGCUGCAGUCAGGAACUGGCUCCAGGCCCUGAGACAAGAAGAUUGAACUCUCUGAGACUCCCUUUCAGGACUACCACUUGCCAAUGCGGUACUUUGGUGCAAUUUGAAAGAGGUGCCCCAUCUAGGCACAUGCCUUGGAUGAAGAGCCCAAUGGAAGAAUUUCUCUGUAAACCAAUGCUGCUGGGAAGGAGAUUUCCAUCCCCGGGGAAACCUAAGUAAGGUCCACCAUGAGCGAGAGCUGGGCUCCGAGACUGCCUUAGGAGAGGGGGCCUGGUCAAUCGCUAUCCCUUUCAGGAUUCCCUAAAACCCUCUCACCCCAGGAGGAUUUAUACACCAGGGAAGGUCAGAUGUGAGGCGAAAUGGUCUCUGUGUUUUAGAAGCAGAUGGUUAGGUUUCCACUCAAGAAUUCUCGUGCUUAUGAAAAAAGAAUACUGAUAUGGUUUGGCUCUGUGUCCCCACCCAUAUCUCACCUUGAAUUGUAAUCAAAGGCAGGACCAGGUGGAGGUAAUUGAAUCAUGGGGGUGGUUUCCCUCAUGCUGUUCUCGUGAUAAUGAGUGAGUUCUCAUGAGAACUGAUGGCUUUAUAAGCAUCUGGCAUUCCCCCUACUGGCACUCAUUCUCUCUCCUGCUGCCCUGUGAAGAGGUGCCUUCCACCAUGAUUGUAAGUUUCCUGAGGCCUCCCCAGUCAUGCAGAACUGUGAGUCAAUUAAACCUCCUUUCUUUAUAAAUUACCCAGUCUCGAGCAUUUCUUUAUAGCAGCAUGAGAACAGACUAAUACAAAUAUCAUGAAUGGUAGCCCCUGACACACACACAUAUGUACUCCAUUACUCCACAAACCCAUACCCAUACUCGUGUACACACACUCAUGAACACAAACACACAUCCAUACCACACACUCACAGUGCACACCAAUACAGUGACACCAUGCACGAACUUCACACAUGCUCACAUCACAGCUCACACGGAUACUCCAUACACACAUUCAUGUCCCACACAGUCAUGGACAGGCAGGCCCACCACACUCAUCUCCCCUCAUACCCCCACCUGCACACAACUGUGAGAAGAAAAGAGCCAUCAGGAGCUGUCUCUCUCUGGCUGGUAGUGAAAAAAGAUUAGGGCUGCCCAAGAUUAAAC
Molecule: long non-coding RNA, 1199 nt
Filed under: Homo sapiens (human)
Lineage: Eukaryota; Metazoa; Chordata; Mammalia; Primates; Hominidae
Description: HSALNT0020861
Source: RNAcentral